GAACAGAAUGUCAAAGAGGGUGAGAAUCCCGUCUUGGACCGGCGGUAGGGCCUGUGUAAAACUCCUUCGACGAGUCGAGUUGUUUGGGAAUGCAGCUCAAAAUGGGUGGUAAAUUUCAUCUAAAGCUAAAUAUUGGCCAGAGACCGAUAGCGCACAAGUAGAGUGAUCGAAAGAUGAAAAGCACUUUGAAAAGAGAGUUAAACAGUAUGUGAAAUUGUUGAAAGGGAAGCGCUUGCAACCAGACUUGAGCGCGGCGGUUCCCCCAGCCUUUUGGCUGGGCUACUCCGUCGUGUCCAGGCCAACAUCUUGUUCUGAGGGUCGGUCAAAGGCUCUGGGAAUGUAUCUACCCACGGGUAGACUUAUAGACCAGGGUGUCAUGCGGCCUCUCGGGACCGAGGAACGCGCUUCGGCUCGGAUGUUGGCGUAAUGGUUGUCAGCGACCCGUCUUGAAAACACGGACCAAGGAGUCUAACAUCUAUGCGAGUGUUUGGGUGUCAAACCCGGAACGCGGAAUGAAAGUGAACGGAGGUAGGAAGCUUCGGCUGCACUAUCGACCGAUCCUGAAGUUUACGGAAGGAUUUGAGUAAGAGCAUAGCUGUUGGGACCCGAAAGAUGGUGAAAUAUGCCUGAAUAGGGUGAAGCCAGAGGAAACU
The sequence is a ribosomal RNA, 653 nucleotides long. It matches the Rfam family "Eukaryotic large subunit ribosomal RNA", at positions 193 to 863 of the family's 3401-position model.